ACUCUUCACACGUUCACCUAAAUUUCUUCCCACUCGUUCCAACUCUUUUUCCACAUGAUCCAAUUCUCCUAUUUUAAUAAAAUUCCUUCAAUAUUUAUUUUUCAAAUCUCAAAGCAUACCAUCUAGUUGCACGGAUCCCAAAGCCUCAUCCCAUCUCAGCCAUCAUCUUGCAUCCACGUUAUCCAACUCCACGCUUCUCAAAC
Molecule: long non-coding RNA, 203 nt
Filed under: Phoenix dactylifera (date palm)
Lineage: Eukaryota; Viridiplantae; Streptophyta; Magnoliopsida; Arecales; Arecaceae
Description: long non-coding RNA (PDAC_LNC010451)
Source: RNAcentral